RNAcentral lists this ribosomal RNA (253 nucleotides) under uncultured Prevotella sp. RNAcentral describes it as "partial 16S ribosomal RNA". It matches the Rfam family "Bacterial small subunit ribosomal RNA", at positions 524 to 776 of the family's 1533-position model. Lineage: Bacteria; Pseudomonadati; Bacteroidota; Bacteroidia; Bacteroidales; Prevotellaceae. The record is from RNAcentral.
UACGGAAGGUCCGGGCGUUAUCCGGAUUUAUUGGGUUUAAAGGGAGCGUAGGCCGGCUUUUAAGUCAGCUGUGAAAGUCCGCGGCUCAACCGUGGAAUUGCAGUUGAAACUGGAGGCCUUGAGUGCACACAGGGAUGCCGGAAUUCAUGGUGUAGCGGUGAAAUGCAUAGAUAUCACGCAGAACCCCGAUUGCGAAGGCAGCAUACCGGUGCACAACUGACGCUCAGGCACGAAAGCGUGGGUAUCGAACAGG